Molecule: ribosomal RNA, 253 nt
Filed under: uncultured bacterium
Lineage: Bacteria
Description: partial 16S ribosomal RNA
Rfam family: Bacterial small subunit ribosomal RNA
Source: RNAcentral
UACAGAGGGGGCAAGCGUUGUUCGGAAUUACUGGGCGUAAAGGGCGCGUAGGCGGCCUGUUAAGUUGAACGUGAAAUCCCCGGGCUUAACCUGGGAACUGCGCUUGUAACUGGCAAGCUAGAGUGUGGCAGAGGGGGGUGGAAUUCCACGUGUAGCAGUGAAAUGCGUAGAGAUGUGGAGGAACACCGAUGGCGAAGGCAGCCCCCUGGGCUAACACUGACGCUCAUGCACGAAAGCGUGGGGAGCAAACAGG